RNAcentral lists this ribosomal RNA (253 nucleotides) under uncultured bacterium. RNAcentral's name for it is "partial 16S ribosomal RNA". It matches the Rfam family "Bacterial small subunit ribosomal RNA", at positions 524 to 776 of the family's 1533-position model. The record is from RNAcentral.
UACGUAGGCAGCGAGCGUUGUUCGGAAUUACUGGGCGUAAAGAGUGUGUAGGCGGUGUUCCAAGUCUGGUGUGAAAUCUCCCGGCUUAACUGGGAGGGUGCGCCGGAAACUGGAAUGCUCGAGGGUGGGAGAGGUAAGCGGAAUUCCUGGUGUAGCGGUGAAAUGCGUAGAUAUCUGGAGGAACACCGGUGGCGAAGGCGGCAUCCUGGACCAACACUGACGCUGAGGAGCGAAAGCCAGGGGAGCAAACGGG